Molecule: long non-coding RNA, 3524 nt
Organism: Numida meleagris (helmeted guineafowl)
Lineage: Eukaryota; Metazoa; Chordata; Aves; Galliformes; Numididae
Exons: 2
Source: RefSeq, a predicted model, not a curated record
GCUUUUGCCAACUGGAAGGUAAGGUAAAGAGAGAGGACUUAGCAGGAGAUGCUGCCAGAAGCUCUAUUUGAGAACCAGGCUGUGAAGGCAGUGAGAAGCAGGUGUGAUGUUGUUCUGCCUGCCUCAGGAAGAGCUUGGGGAUGGAAAGCUGAGGCGGUGCGGAGGAAGGGAUGGUUCCACAUUUAAUGCCUCUCCCCUGCAUGCUGGCUCCAGGCCACCCAGGCUGAACACUCACAGCUUGCACUGAAGUGUUGGAGAACUGAAAGGGCCCGAGGCUGUGCUGGCUGGUCCCCGGCAUCUUGCAUUUCAAAUGCCUUCAGAAAGAUGGAUUUGAUGCUUCCUCUUUUAUUUAUUACAUUUAAAGCAGCUUUGCCAGGGGGGAGCCCAAGAGAAGAUGCAGCUUAUCGUCCUGGGGAUCCGAGGAGCUGGGCUGCACACAAAGCAGAAGGCAGCACCCCACCAGCAGCCAUGCAUGCAGCGGUCUGCACUCCUGGGGGGGGGACAGAGAGGGCAAGGGAAGGUGGGGACCACCCGGCUCAGCAGCAGUGAGUCAUUUGCUGAGCUCUCCUCCUGACCGCUGGGCAGUUAUUAUCGAUGCCACACAGCUGUAAAUGUUCUCUCUGCAGCUGGGACCUGGGAGCAGAGAGUGCGGCUCAGCUGAGUGUGUUAUUGGAUUAGCAGCUGAUUAGAGCUGUUAAGAGUCCACUCUUGAAUAAUCAACAUGGUGCUUUUUGGCUGCUGUGUAGCAGUGGGAGGAGGAAGGAGGCAGAGCAGCUUGGCUGACUGCUGUUGAAUCACAGCUGAGCCCUGGCCCUGCAGUCAGUGGGGAGAUGCAGUGCCCACCUUCCCCUGGACAACUGGUGGGAUGUGGAGCUGCAAGGGGACCUCCUAUUUCUCUGACACACAUUUCAGGCUAUGGAUUCUCUUGCUGGAAGAGUUAAAACCUGGAGUAUCUCAACCAUGUGGGAAGACCGGAUGGUGUGUGGUGAGCUUGGUCCAUCGUGAGCCAGGGUUGAAUUGGCCCGUUGUUCAGCCACCAUUUCCCAUGAAGAAUCUUCCUACAGCCGCCUGGCAGUAGGAGUCAUCCUGCUCUGCCUUGAUGUGUGUAUUUGCUCCCUGAGUUGAGUCCUUCUGGUGCUCUCUGGUCUGGAGAGCACAAUUCACCAGCAACCUCAUGGAUCAUGUUUUUCCCUUCAGGCAUAGUUCUCUGCUUUCCACUGAUAUCAAUGGCACGGCAACUGUGAGUGUGGGGAGAACUUGGUAUUACACGGAAUAAUGAUUCACAAGUGUGAUCACAUGUGCCCUGAUAUCCAAGGGCACUGAGUGAUUAGGGCUAAGGAGAUCUCUUGCUUACGCUUUCACUCCUUGUGUCUGAGAUCAGCAUUCUCCUUGCAAAGACCUCUAGGGGUCACAGUUGGAUUGUACAACAGGUUGUGAUCCCAUCCUUGGGAUAGGAAAUCAGAGCACACGCCACCCACCUCCUGCCAAACCAGCGGCUGGAAAGCCAGCAGGAUGCCAAGUGCCCACUGCCCAUGGGUCACUGCCUCCAACCCCACUCAGGAGUGGGUUCCAGCCCCUCCUCUGCCUCUUUCUGCCACCGAGAUCCAGAUGAUUCUCUGAGGAUUUAGUUCAUAACUUCAACACAGUGAAUCCAAAUGUGUUCUAGGCUGGAAAAGCCAGUUUCAAGUUUGUGCACAGAAGGGUAUGAGGAACAGUGCCAUAAAGAAGAAGGAGGAAGAGAAGAAAUUAGAAAAUGUGAGUUAUACAUACACAGUGCAAUCAAGGGAAGGGACAGAGACCUGUCACAAAAGGUUCACGCUGAAGAUUUCCAUCUCUGCGUAAGUUUCUUGCUCACGAAAAUAGUGGUGGUUCAUUAAGGUUGCUGCGAAGGGGCUUUGUUUCCUUUUUGUCUAACCUGAUCUUCCUCAAAACCAGGUAGUACAAACCUCAAAAAGCAAAAUCCAGGUGACACAAUUUGAAGAACUUUAGGACACAGGCAGCGUUCCAGUGAAGUGAAAUGGAUGAGGCAGCUCUUCAAACCCUGACCUGGUUUUCUUUGAGAUCGUUACUCAUCUCUGCAGCUCACACAUGAGCUGUGUGUGCCCAUCUCGGCCUCCAGGUUCAGCAGAGCCCCCAAGAAGAAGUCACAGGAGUUGGACAGGACCAGACAGCAGUGAGCUCGACAGAAGACCCCUGCCUGGAUGGAUUCAUCCUCCCCAUGUGAAAGCAGUUCUCUCAGCAGGGUUUUCUGCCACAGUUGCACCAUUCUUGUCCUUCUUCCUUCCACUAGGCAACAGAAAGUCUUCAGAUGAGCCCAAUCCAUUUCUGUCAUGAGGAGCAGCCUAGAAACAGCAUCACCUGUCUUCAUUUUGUGAGGGCCCUGCAGAUGCUUACCCACAGGAACACCCCAGUCACUGCCAGAGGUCCCUCCCCGUUCCAGCACUGCACUGCAAAGCAGGAUCUGGCCAUGAUGCUCAGCAAGAUGGAGCCCUUCCAUUAUGAGAUAAUUAAAUUGCCUGUAAUUAUGUUCUUGACAGUGAAAUAAAGGUGGUAAAUGAUCGUAAUGUUCUUCGCUUCCUUCUUCCUCCCAGGACCCCCCCAGCUGCCCCUCCCCUCUAAAUGCUGAAUUAUUUUACAGUUGAUAGUUCCUUAGAAUCGCCGACCUUUAAAAGCUGAACACUACAUGCCUGUUGAAUUUUAAUCAAUUUAUUUUUUUCAACUGGAAAUGUCAGACUUCUGUACGGAAUUACUUGGUGCCGGCUGAUGUGACAAAGACUCAAAGUUCAGCAUCUGAAGCCACGGAGGAGCAGAGAGUUGCGUGCAUUAGCACAGAUAAUUUGCAGGAUGUGAAAAUGAGAGCGGGAGUGAGGGAGCAUAUAUUUUUCAUUAGCUUUGGUUUAGAAGGUGCGAGGACCUGCAUUUAUUUCAUCCAGUGAACUCUGGCCUCAUUAAAUCCAGACCGUGGCCAGUAAUGACUGGAAGUAAGAAGCUGUGGAGGCCACCAAAGGGCAGGAAGUAAAGUGAGUUCUUCACGGGGUGAAACAUGGUGUACGUGUUGACAGGGGCAGUGCACAACCUCUGCUGUGCCCACCCCGCGGUGCCAAGCACUGCACAGUGGGUGCUGGUUGCCCAAACCAUCUGCCAGCCCACGCUGGCACAGUUCCUUAAUGCACACGGUAUCACCCAUUUUAGUCCAGAAGACCCGAAGAGCUCAGCAAACAUUUCAACUCCAGCAGAGCCUGUCUCUGUCCAAGCAAGAUGAAUAACUUUUCAGUAGCGUUGAGUUUGGCUGCCACUGUCUUGAAGGAUUAAGAAUUCCCCAACCGGAGUGAAGCCCAUGGGUAAAGAGAGGAAGAUGUUAACGUGGAAACAUUCCUGCAGGCUGGUUCCUGCUGCCAGAGAAGCCCAUGGCACUGAGAAUAGACCAAUGAGGAGCCCUCGAGUCCUUACUGGGAUUUGCUGGCCUUCACUGUAACUUCAGCAUCGCGUUUGUGAGCCAGGGUAAUGAGGGGAGCUGCUCUGCU